RNA transcript from Scylla paramamosain (green mud crab), 1457 nucleotides. RefSeq lists it as uncharacterized. Lineage: Eukaryota; Metazoa; Arthropoda; Malacostraca; Decapoda; Portunidae. The record is from RefSeq and is a predicted model, not a curated record. The transcript is spliced from 5 exons.
CAGCGUCUCUCUCUUAAAUUUUCCCCAAUAUCUUUGUAUCUCCAUUUCAGAUGAAUUGUUCUCUUUCCAAGGGUUGAGGAGAACAUGGUCGUGGUUCAAGUGAAGCCACUACAGCCACUGCCUGACAAGUCUUCCACACUGAUAGACAGUGGCAGCAAACACACAAGGGAGGAUGGUGUGGUGGACAAGAGGAUGCAGGGAGACGGCAGACAGAAUGGAAGCUACAGAUGAAAGAAGAGCAGGUCAAGCCAUGGCAGCAGACAGACAGACAGAGACAGAUUGGAUCAGAAAGUAUUAUUAUUUAGUGAGCACCAGAAGCAGUCUUCCUCACACGAACCGUUUCAUUGCCGGGACUUGAAGGCUGCUGAAGCAAUGCGGCGGAGGUCACGCCCCUUAAAGUAUUUAUACUUACUGUCAACACCAUAACUAAAGCAAACACUUUAGUGCAGACAGGCCCACUGGAAGCUGUCAGUCUGCUGCGGCACGUGGCAAGAACCAAGUGUUGAGGAGCACACAUUGUCCCUUCAUCAGUCAGCAGACUGCUCGCCUUCACAGGUCUGGGCGGCUCGGAAGUCUCACUACAAACUGGAGAUCCAUUCUCUUGGACACAGCUGGAGUCGGACACAAGAUUCAAGAGGGAGUCAUUUUAACGAGAGCUUCAGGCAGAAAAUUCGAGUGGAUUUUCAUUUCUAAAAAUAUCUUAUUUUUUGGGGGGGAUAUUUUGAAUCCUUCUUUGUGGAAAAAUAACUCCAGAUAUUAUGAUUCUAGCUGGAAGUUGACCUGAGCAAUGUAGGGUUUGCUGCUGUGAGAUUAUCACCAAGGCACAAGUGUCCGGGAUUUAAAGAUGAUGGAAAUGUGUCCUGUGUGCUGCUGUGCUGGGAAGAGGAGAGGAGCAGCAGCAGUGGUGGGGCUCUGCUGCUGCUGUCACUAGUGCAGCUGCCUUCCCUCAACAUACUGUGUCUUCUCUCACCUGCAAUGAACAACUAUGAACAAUACUUUUGCGAUGAAGAACAGUGAAUAACACCUCUCCCCAUAUGAUUGCAAGUCUCUCUCUCUCUCUCUCUCUCUCUCUCUCUCUCUCUCUCUCUCUCUCUCUCUCCAUAGUCCUACAGUAUGUCCCCCACAGUAUGUUUACAAACCCACAGUGACUCCCCACAGCCCCUCACCAACACCCUCACCAACAAUUGUCUCCACACACACACACACACACACACACACACCAUUACAUACACAAAUGUUGCAAUCUUGUACACACACACACACACACACACACACACACACACACACACACACACACACACACCAUUACAUACACAAAUGUUGCAAUCUUGUACACACACACACACACACACACACACACACACACACACACACACACACACACACACACCAUUACAUACACAAAUGUUGCAAUCUUGUACAGUGUCUACAAUAAAGAAUGAAACCAAAAUCGACAA